UGGGAGAGGAGCCCCAGGCCCGGGAGUCCCAGGUGUUCCCAUUCUGUGAUCAGCACAGAACAUAUACACCUCACCAUGGAGUCUGUGCUGGGCUGGGUUUUCCUUGUUGCUCUUUUAAAAGGUAAUUCAUGGUGAAUGAGAGACACUGAGUAUGUGAGUUGACAUGACUGAGAAAGAGUGGAUGUGUGACAGAUUCCUGACCAAGAUGUCUUGUGUCUGCAGGUGUCCAGUGUGACGUGCAGCUGGUGGAGUCUGGGGGAGACCUGGUGAAGCCUGGGGGGUCCCUGAGACUCACCUGUGUGGCCUCUGGAUUCACCUUCAGUAGCUAUGGAAUGAGCUGGGUCCGCCAGGCUCCCGGGAAGG
Molecule: long non-coding RNA, 363 nt
Filed under: Lynx pardinus (Iberian lynx)
Lineage: Eukaryota; Metazoa; Chordata; Mammalia; Carnivora; Felidae
Source: RNAcentral